AGCCGAAACAACUCCCCAAAGUUCUCUUUUGACUUGCAAAUAUACAUGUUGCCGAGUACUUAAAACUUUAGCUCCAAAUCAAACUGCAAAUCUAUUUCCACUUGAAUCAUCUUGAUCCACAACCCAUCUAAUAGCGAUAGGACUAGUAUCCACAGUAAGAAUUACUUGUCUAUUACAGUCAUAAUCAAUUUUUCUUAAAAUUGGAGGUAUCACCAAUAACACCUUUAGCUUCUACAUUACUUUAGUGUACUUUCUUUCCGAUUUAAAUCGAUUAUCCUUACGCAAUAAUUCAUACAAUGGAUCGACUACAUGAGCAUAAUGAAGAAUCCAUAUAUGAUAAAAUACACAAGCUCCUAAAAACCUGUGUACUUCUAUUAAAGAGUCAUAUGAAUCUUUCAUCUUGCCAAUUACAUCAACUUUGCUUGGACUUGGUUUUCUUCCAUAAAAUCCAUACAAAUGCCCAACAAUAAGAACUUCUUACACUCCAAAUGUAGAUUUUGCUCCUAAAAGUGUAAGAUGAAC
This 522-nucleotide long non-coding RNA is filed under the name Physcomitrium patens. Its description in RNAcentral is "long non-coding RNA (PPAT_LNC000085)". Lineage: Eukaryota; Viridiplantae; Streptophyta; Bryopsida; Funariales; Funariaceae. The record is from RNAcentral.